GACGAACGCUGGCGGCGUGCCUAAUACAUGCAAGUCGAACGAAGCUGUUUUAACUGGUGCUUGCACCGACUUAAACAACUGAGUGGCGAACGGGUGAGUAACACGUGGGUAACCUGCCCCAAAGCGGGGGAUAACAUUUGGAAACAGAUGCUAAUACCGCAUAACCACAGAAACCACAUGGUUUCUGUGUCAAAGAUGGUUUCGGCUAUCACUUUGGGAUGGACCCGCGGCGUAUUAGCUAGUUGGUAAGGUAAUGGCUUACCAAGGCAAUGAGACGUAGCCGAACUGAGAGGUUGAACGGGCACAUUGGGACUGAGACACGGCCCAAACUCCUACGGGAGGCAGCAGUAGGGAAUCUUCCACAAUGGACGAAAGUCUGAUGGAGCAACGCCGCGUGAGGGAAGAAGGUUUUCGGAUCGUAAAGCUCUGUUGUCAGUGAAGAACGUGUGCGAGAGUAACUGCUCGUGCAGUGACGGUAUCUGGCCAGAAAGCCACGGCUAACUACGUGCCAGCCGCCGCCGUAA
Molecule: ribosomal RNA, 524 nt
Filed under: uncultured bacterium
Lineage: Bacteria
Description: partial 16S ribosomal RNA
Rfam family: Bacterial small subunit ribosomal RNA
Source: RNAcentral